This 253-nucleotide ribosomal RNA is filed under the name uncultured bacterium. Its description in RNAcentral is "partial 16S ribosomal RNA". It matches the Rfam family "Bacterial small subunit ribosomal RNA", at positions 524 to 776 of the family's 1533-position model. The record is from RNAcentral.
UACGGAGGGGACUAGCGUUGUUCGGAAUUACUGGGCGUAAAGCGCACGUAGGCGGACUUGUAAGUCAGGGGUGAAAUCCCGGGGCUCAACCUCGGAACUGCCUUUGAUACUGCAAAUCUCGAGUCCGGAAGAGGUGAGUGGAAUUCCUAGUGUAGAGGUGAAAUUCGUAGAUAUUAGGAAGAACACCAGUGGCGAAGGCGGCUCACUGGUCCGGUACUGACGCUGAGGUGCGAAAGCGUGGGGAGCAAACAGG